CGCACGGGUGAGUAACGCGUGGGAACAUACCCAGCUGUACGGAAUAACCAUGGGAAACUAUGGCUAAUACCGUAUACACCCCCCUUGUUAACCCUUGGGGGGGAAAGAUUUAUCGCAGUUGGAGUGGCCCGCGUAGGAUUAGGUAGUUGGUGGGGUAAAGGCCUACCAAGCCUACGAUCCUUAGCUGGUUUGAGAGGAUGAUCAGCCACACUGGGACUGAGACACGGCCCAGACUCCUACGGGAGGCAGCAGUGGGGAAUAUUGGACAAUGGGCGAAAGCCUGAUCCAGCAAUGCCGCGUGAGUGAAGAAGGCCUUAGGGUUGUAAAGCUCUUUCACCGGGGAAGAUUAUGACGGUACCCGGAGAAGAAGCCCCGGCUAACUCCGUGCCAGCAGCCGCGGUAAUACGGAGGGGGCUAGCGUUGUUCGGAAUUACUGGGCGUAAAGCGCGCGUAGGCGGCCUGUCAAGUUGGGUGUGAAAGCCCGGGGCUCAACCCCGGAAUUGCACUCAAAACUGGCAAGCUAGAG
RNAcentral lists this ribosomal RNA (526 nucleotides) under marine sediment metagenome. Its description in RNAcentral is "SSU rRNA". It matches the Rfam family "Bacterial small subunit ribosomal RNA", at positions 99 to 646 of the family's 1533-position model. The record is from RNAcentral.